UUUUAUAGUUUGGAACCAUGCUUUUACUUGAACAAUCUGAGCAAAUAACCUUGCAAAAAUCAAAUUAUAAAUUUAUAGCAAAAUGCAUGUGAUCAAUGAUGGAUGCAUCUCAUUUCAUGGUAAACAAUCCGCAUGGUAUACAAGAGCCGAGAAGAAAAGAAGCAAGCUUGAGCUAAAAAGGAUCAAAAAGGAAAUUAAAGUGCAAGAGCUGGAUAAGCUAAAGCUGGAUCAGGAUCUGGCCCUCCGGCAUCGCGAUCACGGGCUUCAUCCUGCGAUCGCGCCCAGUCAAGCUAGUCAAACAACUGCGAUCGUGAUGGACUAACCGUGAUUUCCAAAAGGGCGAUCAUGAUCAAUCUUUAUCGAUCACGUGAGAGUAGAAAAUGGCCUAAGGGCAGAAAUGUCAUUUUUACUAGCCGACCCAAAAUCCUAUUUAAGGCACAAAACCCAUUCAUUCUAGAGAAAUUAUACCACAACCCUACUUUCCAUCCUAAGUAUAGGGUUUUUGUAAUUUCUUGGAGCUUGGAAUGUAAAUUUACACUAAUUUGAGACAAGAUUAAAUUAGAGGAGCUUUAAAGUGUAAAUUUGAUUUUGUCUAUUAAAGAUUCACUUGAGUCUAAAGUGUGGUUUGUCCUCUAUUUAUUUUUUUAUGAAUAACUUUGGUGGA
Long non-coding RNA from Capsicum annuum, 664 nucleotides. RefSeq lists it as uncharacterized. NCBI's taxonomy places the organism in Eukaryota, Viridiplantae, Streptophyta, Magnoliopsida, Solanales, Solanaceae. The record is from RefSeq and is a predicted model, not a curated record. The transcript is spliced from 2 exons.